UAGGGAAUCUUGGACAAUGGGCGAAAGCCUGAUCCAGCAAUGCCGCGUGUGUGAAGAAGGUCUUCGGAUUGUAAAGCACUUUCGACGGGGACGAUGAUGACGGUACCCGUAGAAGAAGCCCCGGCUAACUUCGUGCCCG
Molecule: ribosomal RNA, 139 nt
Filed under: uncultured bacterium
Lineage: Bacteria
Description: partial 16S rRNA
Rfam family: Bacterial small subunit ribosomal RNA
Source: RNAcentral